UCAAACACGCUGAUUUCGUGG
RNAcentral lists this non-coding RNA (21 nucleotides) under Caenorhabditis elegans. The record is from RNAcentral. Lineage: Eukaryota; Metazoa; Nematoda; Chromadorea; Rhabditida; Rhabditidae.